UACGAAGGGGGCUAGCGUUGUUCGGAAUCACUGGGCUUAAAGGGCGCGUAGGCGGGCAAGCAAGUCCGGGGUGAAAUCUUUCGGCCCAACCGGAAAAGGGCCUUGGAUACUGCUUGUCUGGAGGGAGGUAGGGGCAGACGGAACUUCCGGUGGAGCGGUGAAAUGCGUUGAUAUCGGAAGGAACGCCGGUGGCGAAAGCGGCUCACUGGACCAUAACUGACGCUGAUGCACGAAAGCUAGGGGAGCAAACAGG
This 253-nucleotide ribosomal RNA is filed under the name uncultured bacterium. RNAcentral's name for it is "partial 16S ribosomal RNA". It matches the Rfam family "Bacterial small subunit ribosomal RNA", at positions 524 to 776 of the family's 1533-position model. The record is from RNAcentral.